This 498-nucleotide unclassified non-coding RNA is filed under the name Calamagrostis macrolepis. RNAcentral's name for it is "contains 3' external transcribed spacer, ETS". Lineage: Eukaryota; Viridiplantae; Streptophyta; Magnoliopsida; Poales; Poaceae. The record is from RNAcentral.
GGUCCCCGUCUUUGUGCGGCCGACUACCGGCGCCGUGUCCCGUCAUUUGUGUGGCUUAUGUUACUGUUGCCUUUAAGUGCUUGCGUGCUGGUACCCGACCUACGGGAAGUGGUGCAUCAUACAUGGUUGCCUCGCGGUGGACGCCUUCGGGUGUGCUGCUGCGGCCAAAUGGCGCUUGCGGCGUUGCCUCGUGGUGCUGGCACGUUUUCGUGCCUGGUGCUAUCAGGGCAGCCUCGCUCCCGCUGUUGGUUUUGGAUGUCGCUCACGAUAAAAGMUCAUGGCCCUUUUGGGUUGCCUUGAACUGACCCUAAAUAUGCCUUCCUCGUUGAGAACAACCGUCAGCUGUUGCCUCAACUCGUAGGUGGAUAUUGGCCCGCUCAAUUGCGACAACCGGCCCGGCGGUUGCCUCUGCCUUUCCACGUAAGUGGACGGGCGAACGACUGUCGGCGCUGGACGUCAAAGAGGACGUGCUACCUGGUUGAUCCUGCCAGUAGUCAU